GUGCUCAUUUCGACAGCACAUGUACUAAAACUGGAAUGAUACAGGGAAGAUUAGCAUGGCCUCUGUGCAAGGAUGACAUGCAAAUUAGUGAUAUAUAUAUAUGUGUG
Small nuclear RNA from Suricata suricatta (meerkat), 107 nucleotides. Lineage: Eukaryota; Metazoa; Chordata; Mammalia; Carnivora; Herpestidae. The record is from Ensembl.